ACGUGGACGAACGGCGCCUCAGCCGCACGCACGACCUAUUUUUUUACUCAGCUCAAACUGUGGCACAUACCACGUACAUCCAACCAACUCAGAUCGGCCUCUAUUUAUAGGCUGACACACACGCGACCUCCCCUAUUCUGAAACAUGCUAACUAAUCAUAGAGUUUAUCCGGCGAGCUAACAAGAUAUCCCUCUAACUAACUGCAUGUAUGACUAUCCUAUCACGACAUCAAGCUACCUAACCAACUAACCACCUGGACUAAGCACUACGCGUUGGACUAACCAACUCGCCAUGGGCACGAGUGCACGCGCACGCACGUACACCAUCGUGACACACAUGCACACACGUACUAUGGGUGCAUACCCAUCACGGUUUAUUUCUAACAUUCUCCCCCAAAACUGUGACUCGUCGUCGCCGGAGUUAUUGCCGCUCCCAUCAUUGUCGUCGUCAUGGCCGCCGCUGCGGCCUCCGUCACGCUUGACGCAACCUCCAUGCUCUUCCUCGGCGACACACGUCGAGCUCCUUGUCCGCCGGUGACACACGCCUGACGUUCUGGCGACAUACGCCGUCGCUGCCGUCGCGCUUUGAACACUUGACAUCACCGCGCUGCCGCAAGUCUCAAUGCAUGACUGCGCCAACACGGUCGUCGUUUCUCGGCGGCCACGCUAUCCACGCCGCCGUGCAGCGCCGCCACGCCGCCGCGCCGUGUCGUGCCUUCGCGAACUCCGCGCCACCAUGCAGUACUUCCGGGCCUCCUCGCCGCACGCGGCAUACUCACCGCGGAUCGACAAGGCUCUGAUACCAAUUGUUGGGACAAACCCGGUCCGGUGACGAACGCCGAGUAGGCUCCGGCGGCACGAACGGCAGACGAACCUCUCUCUCUUUCACCCGCUCGAACAGAGGUAGAAGAAGGAGUACAACACAUUGGAUUUUUCAGGCGACGAACACCAUGCCGCACGAACGGCGCCACGCCGACGAACGACGCCUCGGCCGCACGCACCACCUAUUUUUUUUACUCAGCUCAAAUUGUGGCACAUACUACGUACAUCCAACCAACUCAGAUCAGCCUCUAUUUAUAGGCUGACACACACGCCACCUCCCCUAUUUUGAUGCAUGCUAACUAACCAUAGAGUUUAUCCGGCCAGCUAACAACUUAUCCCUCUAACUAACUGCAUGCAUGACUAUCCUAUCACGACAUGAAGCUAGCUAACCAACUAACCACCUGGACUAAGCACUACGCGUUGGACUAACCAACUCGCCAUGGCCACGAGUGCACGCGCAUGCAAGUACACCAUCGUGACACACAUGCACACACGUACUCUAGGUCCAUACCCAUCACGGUUUAUUUCUAACAUUCCCCCCCUAAACCGUGACUCGUUGUCGCCGGAGUUGUUGCCACUCCCAUCGUUGUCGUCGUCAUGGCCGCCGCUGCGGCCACCGUCACGCUUGACGCAACCUCCAUGCUCUUCCUCGGCGACACACGUCGAGCUCCUUGUCCGCCAUUGACACACGCCUGACGUUCUGGCGACAUACGUCGUCGCUGUCGUCACGCUCGAACGCCUGACAUGACCGCGCCGCCGCGCGUCUCAAUGCAUGACUGCGCCAACACGAUCAUCGUUUCCCGGCGGCCACGCCAUCCAUGCCGCCAUGCAGCGCCGCCACGCUGCCGUGCCGUGCCGCGCCUUCGCGGACUCCGCGCCACCAUGCAGGACUUCCGCGGCCUCCUUGCCGCACGCGGCGGACUCAGCGGAUCGACAAGGCUCUGAUACCAAUUGUUGGGACAAACCCAGUCCGGCAACGAACGCCGAGUAGGCUCCGGCGGCACGAACGGCGGACGAACCUCUCUCUCUUUCACCCGCUCGAACAGAGGUAGAAGAAGGAGUACAACACACUGGAUUUUUCAGGCGACGAACGCCAUGCCGCACGAACGGCGCUACGCCGAUGAACGGCGCCACGCCGACGAACGGCGCCUCGGCCGCACGCACGACCUAUUCUUUUUUUACUCAGCUCAAACUGUGGCACAUACCACGUACAUCCAACCAACUCAGAUUGGCCUCUAUUUAUAGGCUGACACACACGCCACCUCUCCUAUUCUGAUGCAUGCUAACUAACCAUAGAGUUUAUCCGUCCAGCUAACAACUUAUCCCUCUAACUAAGUGCAUGCAUGACUAUCCUAUCACGACAUGAAGCUAGCUAACCAACUAACCACCUGGACUAAGCACUACGCGUUGGACUAACCAACUCGCCAUGGCCACGAGUGCACGCCCACGCACGUACACCAUCGUGACACACAUGCACACACG
RNAcentral lists this long non-coding RNA (2303 nucleotides) under Triticum aestivum (bread wheat). RNAcentral describes it as "long non-coding RNA (TAES_LNC026934)". The record is from RNAcentral. Lineage: Eukaryota; Viridiplantae; Streptophyta; Magnoliopsida; Poales; Poaceae.